CCUACGGGAGGCAGCAGUGGGGAAUAUUGGACAAUGGGGGGAACCCUGAUGCAGCGACGCCGCGUGAGUGAAGAAGUAUUUCGGUAUGUAAAGCUCUAUCAGCAGGAAAGAAAAUGACGGUACCUGACUAAGAAGCCCCGGCUAACUACGUGCCAGCAGCCGCGGUAAUACGUAGGGGGCAAGCGUUAUCCGGAUUUACUGGGUGUAAAGGGAGCGUAGACGGUGCAGCAAGUCCGAAGUGAAAGGCCGUGGCCUAACCACGGUACUGCAUUGGAAACUGUAGAGCUUGAGUACGGGAGAGGCAAGCGGAAUUCCUAGGGUAGCGGUGAAAUGCGUAGAUAUUAGGAGGAACACCAGCGGCGAAGGCGGCCUACGGGACCGUAACUGACGUUGAGGCUCGAAAGCGUGGGGAGCAAACAGGAUUAGAUACCCCAGUAGUC
This 440-nucleotide ribosomal RNA is filed under the name uncultured bacterium. RNAcentral's name for it is "partial 16S ribosomal RNA". It matches the Rfam family "Bacterial small subunit ribosomal RNA", at positions 338 to 795 of the family's 1533-position model. The record is from RNAcentral.